AACGAACGCUGGCGGCAUGCCUAACACAUGCAAGUCGAACGUGAUCCGGGACUUCGGUUUCGGUGAAAGUGGCGGACGGGUGAGUAACGCGUGGGAACCUGCCCAGUGGUAGGGGAUAACCGCGGGAAACUGCGGCUAAUACCCUAUGUGCCCUGCGGGGCAAAGAUUCAUCGCCAUUGGAGGGGCCCGCGUCGGAUUAGGUAGUUGGUGGGGUAACGGCCUACCAAGCCUUCGAUCCGUAGCUGGUCUGAGAGGAUGAUCAGCCACACUGGGACUGAGACACGGCCCAGACUCCUACGGGAGGCAGCAGUGGGGAGUAUUGGACAAGUGGGGGCAACCCUGAUCCAGCAAUGCCGCGUGAGUGAUGAA
RNAcentral lists this ribosomal RNA (369 nucleotides) under uncultured bacterium. RNAcentral's name for it is "bacterial SSU rRNA". It matches the Rfam family "Bacterial small subunit ribosomal RNA", at positions 29 to 412 of the family's 1533-position model. The record is from RNAcentral.